UCUCUGGUGGUCCAGCGGUUAAGAUGUUGACUUCCAAUGCAAGGGAUGCAGGUUUGAAUCCUGGUCAGGGAG
Molecule: transfer RNA, 72 nt
Filed under: Bos taurus (domestic cattle)
Lineage: Eukaryota; Metazoa; Chordata; Mammalia; Artiodactyla; Bovidae
Also listed under: 5 other names
Rfam family: tRNA
About the family: Transfer RNA (tRNA) molecules are approximately 80 nucleotides in length. Their secondary structure includes four short double-helical elements and three loops (D, anti-codon, and T loops).
Source: Rfam by way of RNAcentral